RNAcentral lists this transfer RNA (78 nucleotides) under Pirellula sp. SH-Sr6A. Its description in RNAcentral is "tRNA-Leu". It matches the Rfam family "tRNA". From Rfam's summary of the family: Transfer RNA (tRNA) molecules are approximately 80 nucleotides in length. Their secondary structure includes four short double-helical elements and three loops (D, anti-codon, and T loops). Further hydrogen bonds mediate the characteristic L-shaped molecular structure. tRNAs have two regions of fundamental functional importance: the anti-codon, which is responsible for specific mRNA codon recognition, and the 3' end, to which the tRNAs corresponding amino acid is attached (by aminoacyl-tRNA synthetases). tRNAs cope with the degeneracy of the genetic code in two manners: having more than one tRNA (with a specific anti-codon) for a particular amino acid; and 'wobble' base-pairing, i.e. permitting non-standard base-pairing at the 3rd anti-codon position. The record is from RNAcentral. Lineage: Bacteria; Pseudomonadati; Planctomycetota; Planctomycetia; Pirellulales; Pirellulaceae.
GGUUGAGUACGCAAACCGGAAAAGCGACUUGGUCGAGAGCCAAGUGACUCUGCAGGUUCGACUCCUGUCUCAACCACC